Micropterus salmoides (largemouth bass) is the source of this 160-nucleotide long non-coding RNA. RefSeq lists it as uncharacterized. The record is from RefSeq and is a predicted model, not a curated record. Lineage: Eukaryota; Metazoa; Chordata; Actinopteri; Centrarchiformes; Centrarchidae. The transcript has 3 exons.
UGGGGCUCUUUGCUCUACAAGACAUCCCAAAAGGGGAGGAGCUGAAGUUCAACUACAACCUUGAGUGUCUUGGCAAUGGUAAAACUGCCUGUAAAUGUGGAGCACCCAACUGCAGCGGUUUCCUGGGUGUCCGGCCGAAGAACCAGCCGUCAGCUGAGAA